CACAGCGCUCUGCAGAAAAAUGCGCCGGUGCCCAGGUCUGGGAACCCCAGCCCGCGGGAUGGUGAAAUGAAAAGCGGCCCCAAUUAGAGGCUUUGGUUCUGCGAACUUGAUGCUCGGCACUUGAACUGUCACGGCGGAGCCUUAAUUAGCAGCGGCGGGGGAGAGGUCAGGAACAACUCAGCAGUCUUGACAAGCGCGUUAUCAAGUGCAGGGGAGCGGGCGGGGCCGCCGGGGAGGGGAGGAGGGCGAAGGGGCGCCGCGGCGCGGGAGGCGGCGGGGAGGCGGCCGCCCCAGCCCCGCGGGAAGGGAAUAAAAUGGUCGCUGCGCGGCGGCCGCGCAGCUCCGGUUGGUGGUGCGGGAAGCCUCCGGCGAGGGCGCGCGGGCAGCGCGGGGCGGCGUGAGAGGCCGCUCGCUCGGCCCCCAGGCGCCCGGACCCUCCCCCCGGCGCCUCCCCCGGUCACUGCAGCGGGCAGGCGGGGGCGCAGCGGGCAGGGCGCACGGAGCGCGACGCCAGGACUCCCCGGGUGCUCCGGACCUGCCGGGAGUCCCGGGGCUCCUCCCCCUCGGGGGUCAUUCCCGGCUGCCCCGCGGCCCGGUCAGCCGUCCCUGGCACCUCCCUGGGUCCCCAACCCCCAGCACGCAGCGGGCCCGAGGGCGCGCUUGGACGCCUCCGCAGUGACCUCCGCACCCACGGCGCUGGCUAUGCUGGGAAGCCCCUCCUAGAGCGCCCUGGGGCCCCGCCACCCGGCGGGGAGGCACAACAUGCUCGGCAUGAAGACCUGGUCGUCCCUGCUCCAGACCCUCAGUCAUGCACAUGCUCCCGCACCGCCUGUAUCCUCGUCACCCUGUCAACUCAGAAGAGAAGGCCAUCGAUUUCUUUUUUAAGUAGAAAAGCUCCAUCUGCCUGCCUGUCUGGCAGCUCCUGGGGCACGUCC
Molecule: non-coding RNA, 935 nt
Organism: Manis javanica (Malayan pangolin)
Lineage: Eukaryota; Metazoa; Chordata; Mammalia; Pholidota; Manidae
Source: RefSeq, a predicted model, not a curated record